GCGAGUUCCGCUUCACGGCCGAUGUCCCCGUCUGGCUGGACUAUCGCGGCAAGCGCGUCACCAUGGAGCAGGGUGCCCUGGCCGGGAUCCUGAUCGGGCUCGCGCGGCUCAACUGCUCCCAACUGCGGCUGAAGCGGCUCUGCCACCGCCAGGGGCUGCUGGGGCUCGGCCGGGUGGUGUCGUACGCGGUGACCGAGUGGCUCCGGGACAUUCGGUGUCACCAACUGCCGGGGCUGCUGGGG
Molecule: non-coding RNA, 242 nt
Organism: Pseudopodoces humilis (Tibetan ground-tit)
Lineage: Eukaryota; Metazoa; Chordata; Aves; Passeriformes; Paridae
Source: RefSeq, a predicted model, not a curated record